UGCAGUCGAGCGGAACGAUCCUUCCUUGCUAUGAGGCGUCGAGCGGCGGACGGGUGAGUAAUGCAUAGGAAUCUGCCCGGUAGUGGGGGAUAACCUGGGGAAACCCCGGCUAAUACCGCAUACGCCCUACGGGGGAAAGCAGGGGAUCUUCAGACCUUGCUCUAUCGGAUGAGCCUAUGUCUGAUUAUCUUGUUGGUGAGGUAAUGGCUCACCAAGGGGACCAUCCGUACCUGGACUGAUAGGAUGAUCAACCACAUCAGGACUGAGACACGGCCCGAACUCCUAC
Molecule: ribosomal RNA, 286 nt
Filed under: marine sediment bacterium BB0608_2216_1.1_4G0
Lineage: Bacteria
Description: partial 16S ribosomal RNA
Rfam family: Bacterial small subunit ribosomal RNA
Source: RNAcentral